RNAcentral lists this long non-coding RNA (1766 nucleotides) under Canis lupus familiaris (dog). RNAcentral describes it as "lncRNA (ENSCAFG00030018508.1)". The record is from RNAcentral. Lineage: Eukaryota; Metazoa; Chordata; Mammalia; Carnivora; Canidae.
GCUCAUAUUUAGAAGUCAUUUAAAGGAUUAAAAGUGAAAGUUUCGCUCUUUCGCCUUCUCCAGGUAUGCUUCUAGAACUGAAAUAAGGAAACAUUUUGGAAGGGAAACCCCACAUCUCGCAGCUGGUAAAGGACAGACAGCAGGCUGUCCAGCCAGGUCUCCUAAUGCAACGCUAGAGCUCUCCCCUUUGCACUUGACCAGCAUGAUGGCCUGUGGCGAGGGGCUCCCAGAUGUAAGGAAGUGACAGCAUGAGGGACUCGGGGCUGCCAUAAGUAACUCAUUUCCAUUCCUAUUACUGUAAUUCAGCUCUUUAAAGAUCAGCCUGCCCUUCUAGUAAAGGAACACACACACACACACACACACACACACAUACACACACACCACUCUGAUUUUCAGUGCAGAAGUUCCAUGCCCAACAGCUAAAAGAGAAGGUUUUGAAAUGGAGAGUGGGGCAGACAGAAGCCCUGGUUAUUAUAGUUAAUUCAAUUUAAUGAAAGCCAUAAAAGCAAAGCAGUUUUGCAGCGGGUGCUGACCAUUCUGAUUGCUCGGAGGACUCCUCGGAGUCCUGCUCUUAACGGAUUGGCAGAGGCCCAAGUCCCUGCCAUUACUCAGCCUCUGGCAAAGGGUCUCUUUACCUUGAUCCACCCAGUUGCUCUUUUGUAAACUAUUUCUCUCCUGUAUUCUGUUGUUUUAUUUAUUUUUAUUUUCUUAAAGAUUUUAUUUAUUUAUUCAUGACAGACACAGAGACACAGAGAGAGGCAGAGACAUAGGCUGAGGGAGAAGCAGGCUCCAUGCAGGGAGCCCGACGUGGGACUCCAUCCCGGGUCUCCAGGAUCACACCCUGGGCUGAAGGCGGCGCUAAACUGCUGGGCCACCGGCGGUGCCCGUAUUCUGUCCUUUUAAAGUAUGCUGUGCUUCUCUGCUCUCCAUUCUCUUCCUGCCUCCCUUCAGGCCAUCCAGCUGGCAGCUGGUCUGCACCUGUGCCACCAGGCCCUGCGCCUGGGCGUGCGGAGACGGCCCCUGCCCUCCGCUCGCUCUCAGCCUCAGUGUGUGGGGUGUGCUCAGGAGAACACAGGCAGGCUUGGACUGGACUGCAGGGGCACUGGGACAGGAGGGACCCCCAACCCUUGACUUUGCAGGCAGAAGGAAUGUCAGAGACCCGCUGCAGGACUUGCGUGCGUCAUAUGCCGUCUUUGCUCAGCCUCCUUCCUUGGCUGUCCCACGCCUCAGGCCUGGUCAGAACUCACCUGCGCCGGAGUCCUCAUCUCCAGGCUCCAUCUGGGGAACACAGCCCAUGGCAGUGGGCUAAACCUCACCGUGUUCCUAGACCUCAAGGCAGAAGCAAGUACUCUGCUGCAAGAGAGCCCACCCCCAGCCCCAUGAAUUCAAAGCCUGGUGCUUUCGAGCAUUUGUCAGGUGUCACCGGAAGGCCUCACAUUUGGCCGGGGAAGAAGAUCACCACCUGCCUAAACCGAAUGUGUCAGGGAAGGGACAGCCUGCGAUACAUUCACCUCUCCAAAAAACGUUGCAGUCUUUCAAAAUUUUAUGUGGAAAGAGAGAAUUGUGUUUGGGGUGUGUCUAUGUAUAUUCGGGGAAAGAUAAAAUUGGAAAUGGCAAAGAAUGUCUGCCUCACAAGAAUGAUUCAAUUCUCCGCUGUCCCUACUUGCCAGGGUACUCGAGGGAGGACCUUGAAGUCAGUGGUGUUUAAUGGAGUGGCUGAGACAUCUCUACCUCCCUUCUCCCCUCUUUUGCUCCAUGUUGGCUGA